Molecule: ribosomal RNA, 1479 nt
Filed under: Triticum aestivum (bread wheat)
Lineage: Eukaryota; Viridiplantae; Streptophyta; Magnoliopsida; Poales; Poaceae
Description: partial small subunit ribosomal RNA
Source: RNAcentral
AUGGCAUUUUAUGAUGAACCCGGACUCCCUAUGUGCCAAGGUGAUGAAAGGAUGAUAUUUCCCAGACACAGAUUUCCUACAUGCUCGGUUCCCAAGUCCUCAUCUGCUACUUGGUGGGCAAUUGUGGCGGGCCGUGAAGCACUGCAGGCCGGUCUGGUGAAGCGAGUAGGCGACGGAUCGUCCAUAUCAAUUUGGGAGGACAAAUGGAUUCCUUCCACCAUCAAGAUGUCUCCUCUGUUACGUCCAGCUAACACCAUGGUGCAAACCGUGAAUGAAUUGAUAGACCCACUGAGCUGGACAUGGCAGACGGAGCAUGUUCGGGAGAUCUUUAUCGCGCUGGAUGCCGCAGCCAUUCUGAACAUUCCAUUGCGGCAUGGUGGGGGCGAAGAGAUCUAUGCAUGGGCCUUUGAGAAGUCAGGCAUUUACUCGGUUAAAUCGGAGUAUCGUGCUCUCGUGAAUCAAAAAGAGCGACAGGCUCUAGAUGAGGGGCAGGUUACCGGCACUUCAGUGGAUCAACAACAUGUGUGUAAUGCCAUUUGGAAACUCAAAGUAGUCCCUAAAGUCAAGGUGUUUUGGUGGUGUGUGAUGAGAGGGAUCUUACCAGACGAGUGCACUCUCAAGCGUCGCCACAUGAAGCAGAUCAGCACCUGCAAGUUCUGGGAGGAAACCCGGCUGCUCUUCGACAUCAACUUGCCAAGGCUACAUCCCCGCACAUGGUCCAAGGACAUCUUAUGUGAUCAACGUUUUUCUGAGAAGGAACGAGCGAUCCUUGUCACGGUGAUGUGGGCAAUCUGGACAUCUCGAAAUCGACUAACACACGAACGGGAUGGCAUUGAUCCUGUCUUUUCAGUAAGACGGAUACGCGAGGAUCUACCUCUACUUGAGCUACCAAAGCAGCAAGUUUCUAUGCUGCCAGGCUUCGUAUGGCGGCCGCCCGAUGAUGGAUUCAUAAAAAUCAACACUGACGCUGCUACUCAUCUCGAUUAUGGCAACACAGGGGCGGGUGGCAUCGCUCGUUCGGCAUCGGGCUUCAAGGGUGCAUGGUCCAAGCCGAUCCCGGGGGUGACAGAUCCUCUCAUUGCGGAGGCUCUAGCGCUCAAGGACGGAGUAUUACUCGCAACACUACGAGGCUACACGCAUGUGAUCAUGGAGACCGACUGUCUAGAGGUAGUAAACCUCUGGAACUAUCGCUACACUGACCGUUCGGUGAUAGCACCUAUCCUAGAUGAAAUAGGAGAGCUAGCUCUUAGCUUUACUUCUUUUACUGUUCAACAUAGGAGUGGUGGUCAUCCUGGGCCUCUACAUGCUGCUAUCGGGCAAGGACAAGGGAAGUACAACGCUGCAGGAGCGGCGAGUGGCGAAGAGCAGGGCAGCUCGCCGGAUCUGGACUGCGAGAAGCAGCAGCGGCAGGAGAAGAAGAUGGCUGACGCCUCCUUGGCGCAGGAUAGCUCGGAAGAACAGACCAAGGCGAUGAGAUAA